GCUCGGGUGGCGGAAUUGGCAGACGCGCUAGCUUGAGGGGCUAGUGCCCGUUUAAGGGCGUGGAGGUUCGAGUCCUCUCCUGGGCA
This 86-nucleotide transfer RNA is filed under the name Gemmatimonadota bacterium. RNAcentral's name for it is "Gemmatimonadetes bacterium tRNA-Leu". It matches the Rfam family "tRNA". Rfam says of the family: Transfer RNA (tRNA) molecules are approximately 80 nucleotides in length. Their secondary structure includes four short double-helical elements and three loops (D, anti-codon, and T loops). The record is from RNAcentral. Lineage: Bacteria; Pseudomonadati; Gemmatimonadota.